AGUGAACGCUGGCGGUAGGCCUAACACAUGCAAGUCGAACGGCAGCACAGUAAGAGCUUGCUCUUACGGGUGGCGAGUGGCGGACGGGUGAGGAAUACAUCGGAAUCUACUUUUUCGUGGGGGAUAACGUAGGGAAACUUACGCUAAUACCGCAUACGACCUACGGGUGAAAGCAGGGGAUCUUCGGACCUUGCGCGAUUGAAUGAGCCGAUGUCGGAUUAGCUAGUUGGCGGGGUAAAGGCCCACCAAGGCGACGAUCCGUAGCUGGCCUGAGAGGAUGAUAGGCCACACUGGAACUGAGACACGGUCCAGACUCCUAAGGGAGGCAGCAGUGGGGAAUAUUGGACAAUGGGGGCAAGCAUGAUCCAGCCAUACCGCGUGGGUGAAGAAGGCCUUCGGGUUGUAAAGACCUUUUGUUGGGAAAGAAAAGCAGCAGGUUAAUACCCCGCUGUUCUGACGGUACCCAAAGAAUAAGCACCGGCUAACUUCGUG
RNAcentral lists this ribosomal RNA (492 nucleotides) under uncultured bacterium. RNAcentral's name for it is "partial 16S ribosomal RNA". It matches the Rfam family "Bacterial small subunit ribosomal RNA", at positions 29 to 507 of the family's 1533-position model. The record is from RNAcentral.